Molecule: long non-coding RNA, 8445 nt
Filed under: Phoenix dactylifera (date palm)
Lineage: Eukaryota; Viridiplantae; Streptophyta; Magnoliopsida; Arecales; Arecaceae
Description: long non-coding RNA (PDAC_LNC003090)
Source: RNAcentral
AGAGCGUCUCAAGCUUCCACUCUUCUUUUUCUACAUUGACAUAGAACUGCUUAAUACCCUCAAGGGUGAGCUCAUCUCGCUUCACAAGGAUCCUUACAGGUUUGCUCAUGAACUUGCGGGUUAUCUCCAGGGCCUCAGGAGGCAUUGUGGCAGAGAAGACCCCAACCUGGAUUUUAGAAGGAAGAAGUUGGAAGAUGUCGUAGAUCUGCAGUGAAGAGUCAACUGUUAGAACAUAAAGAAGCAGAAUCCCCUUGCAACCAUCAAGUUGAAGUAUCAGAUUGAAGGACAUCAAAGGUGAAAUAAACAAGUAACCACAUCACAAAAAUAUAAUAUGAAUUCACCUGCCAAAGCACACACUCAGGCAUCAUAAGGUGCAGGUGUCAUAAUUUUACAUGAGCCACUGAUAAUCUAGCGGCAGAAGCAACACAUGUAGACUGAGCAUUAACAACAUAGAAUCAAAGCAAAUCAUAUUUUUGUUAAAGUACUGUGGACCAUCAACUUCCUAUUUAGUCACAGGAAGCACAAGGUGUGGGCAUUAAGAAAUGCAGUCAAAAAAUCAUACAAGUCAAAAAAGAAUUGCAUGCAAAAGAAUUCAGACUUUCUGUGCAACUACUGAUUAAGUGAAAGACAGUACUGUUCAAGUGCAGAAGUUUCCUUAAUUACCUUUUUCCAGUGAUGCACAAUAUUUUGUAUACAAGCAUUCAACAUAAACUUCAGAGGCCAACAUACCAUCCAAUCUAUCAAAACCAUGAUGACAACAAAUGAAUUCACAAGCUCUUAUCAUUUGAACUUGUCCAAUAUAUUCUUAAUUGUCCAUAUAAACAACCAUAUUUUUAAUUUUGCAGUGCCUACGACAAAGGCAUGCAUAUGACUUAGAUUCACUUAUGUAAGCAAAUUUCUAGAUAAACAAAUUGAACAUUCAGAGUUAUAGGAGUCAGCUGUUGAGAAAGCACUUUCCACCUGUCAACUUACAAGGUUAUUGCAAUCUUAAAGCUACCACAUCGUCAGCAACAAAAACACAAUGCCAGUAAAGAAGUGAAAAGACUCUGAUGCGCCACAAAAACUCAAGAUAUGCUAACUAUAACUGAGCACAAUACUGUAUACUUCAAUAGUAACAAACUAAAAAAAUCAAAAUAAGGAACUAAAUAUAUAAGUAAGACGAAAAAUAAGACCAUAUUCCCAUUAAAAAUGAGCAACCUUGGAAUCUUCCGCAUGCAUCAUUUGCUGUCUCAGUUUAAAUAAAAGCAAGAAAGAUUCAGGGAAACACAAGAAAGGUUGAAAAGGAAUACACAAAGAGGGCACCUGGUCCUUGAAACCACGUGAAAGCAUUUCAUCAGCUUCAUCCAGUACGAACAUCCUAAUGUAGUCAGGACGGAGCGAUUGCCUUCGCAACAUGUCAAACACACGACCUGGGGUACCAACAACAACAUGAACCCCACUUGAAAGAAUCCGUUGAUCCUCACGAACACUGGUUCCUCCAACGCAUGCAUGAACUUUCACACCCAGGUAGUCACCAAGUGCUCGCAUGACCUUCUCAAUUUGCUGUGCUAGUUCUCGAGUUGGAGCAAGAACUAAAGCCUGGCAUUCAACCAACCCAUAAUCAAGCUGCUGCAAAAUUCCAGAACAGAAAGUUGCAGUUUUUCCUGUUCCCGAUUGUGCUUGCUGAAUUACAUCAAGCCCCUUGCAGAAGGGAACGAUUCCUCUUUGUUGAAUUGCAGAGGGCUUUUCAAAACCUACAGAUACACGAUACUUGUCAGUCCUAAUCCAAGUGCAUUAUUAAACUAAAAGUAUGAGAAGUUAAUUAUAUAUGUCUCUACCAUAAGCAUAAAUGCCCCUCAGAAGAUUUUCUUGGAGCCCCAUAGCAUCAAAACUAUCAUAAACCUCGUCGUAUGAUGUAAAGAAUUCCUGACCAUCUGUUGACAACCUACACUCAUGGACACAUAACAAAUCCAAAUGUGACUAUAAUAAGAAAAUGGUAUUUAUGAUAACAAAUAUACAAGAAUUCAUGGAAAGGGCAAAAGAAUUUAUAGUAAAACAAAAUACAAAGAUUGUAAGUAAGAGGCAAUACAGCUCAUUCAUCUUGGAAUCAUAUUGACGAGCAUCAAAUUGAGAUCCUUCUGGUGCUAUUCCUGCCAUGCCUGCAAACAAGAGGUAAAAACUAAUAACCAAUUCCAUUUGACAAUGAAGCAAAGCCAAUUUCAAGAGAGGGAAAAAAACUAAUUAUAAUUCUCAUAAACAGAUAUCCCAAAUUAAAAAAAAUGCCUGAAGCAGAAGCAUUAAGUCUCCAAGAUGCCACAUGAUAACUAAUGGUGAUCAAACAGAUGCAUAAUAUGUUGUUAGUAUUCAAGCAGUACAAACAGAACAGGAUCAAAAAGUAAAAGAAACAAGUGUAAAGCGACAUUACAAAGCAGUUAAUGUCAUGCAAUUUGCAUAGAAGACAAUCGCUUGGGCGAUGAGAGGAAAACAACUGGUAAAUGUUAGCCAAUGAGACAAAAAAAGACCAGGUUAUCUCAUGAAGAAACUUCUCCUGAAACAUAUUCAGCUUAGGGAAUAGAGAGAAACUUCUGACUUCGGUUCGCCGGUUCAGGCUCAACUCCUUGCUUUACUUUAGCAGACCUGUAGGUCGGGUCAAGGCUCCGCGCUCUCUUUCUGUGUGGGACAAUGCUGUGCAAUGCGUCUAGGUGGCGAACAACAACAGAACUAUGGUCUCUUUCUUUCAUUAAGUAUUAUCUAUUCUUGUAUUUUGUAUUUAUUAUAGUAUAUAUAUUAUAGUAUAUGUACUAUAGUAUCUUUAUUAUAGUAUAUUUAUUGUAUGACCAACCAAUUACUUGAAAUGCAAUGCAAGAUUCAAACAAAAAAAACUUCAUCCAAUUUUCAAUAUGGCUUUGCUUUCGAAAUUAUUGUUUUAAUGUCUUUCUCUAUUUCCCUGGUUCGUGUUCGAUACUAUUUUUACAGGCAUUACAAAAGGGAUCAUAGGCAGCAGGCUACAAGGCAGUGGGCUACAAAGCAGGGGUAGCCCUCCCACAAAUACCCCUAUCCCCAUAAAUCCUGGUGAAUGUAGGAUUCAGUCCCAGGUCAUUUGGUGCAACUGCCAAAAAAAUUGCCACUUGAUAAGCUGGCACUUUGUUCCAAAUUUGUUUUGCUAACUUAAUCAAUCAUUAAUAGUAACAAGCUAAACAAUCUGAGUGGCCCAUACAUUGAACUUAUACAUUGGAAUUGUUCGCUUAUUGUUGGCAAAACCAAUGCACAAUAAGGGGUCAAAACGAGAUAUGCCAUUUAAGAGAACACAAGAAAAGCUUAAUCCUUGCAAAAGAAUAAUGAAUGAUACCAUAGGAAACAAAAAACUCUUGAAAGCUUGUUAAAAAAAACAGUUCAACUGCAAGAUUCUGUUGCUCAAAAAAUAAUUAGUAGAAAACACUGAUAGGGGGUGGCGAAUAUUACAAGAAAAUCGUUUGAUCUGAAUAUGAGAAAACGAAAGAAAAAGAAAAGCAGGACACAUAUUAACCAAAUGGAUAGGCAUGCAAAUCUCCAUUAUCAGAUAUUGAUACAACAAAUGAUAAGGUUAUGUUGUAAAUCAAUUAUUGCUUUCUUACACUUCCAUAAAUUAAUAAUCAUCUUUGGCUUGAUAUAUUGCUGCAUUUAAGAAUAAUUAUUUUUAAGUUCCUGAACAAUAUCAUAAUUAUAAUUUGAUCACAAAUUAUUUUCCAGGCGAUAUUGCCAUCUUCUUAAAAAGGAUUUAAUUCAUGUUAAUUUUGUUCAGAUUUGCAAUUCACUUCCAAGUAUUAAUGCUUCUCUUAGGACUGUUAAUGCCUCUAUGGUAUGACAUGUGAGUGAUCCAUGAACAAUUAACAGAUAACAUAAUGAACAAAGUGCAAGCCAGCAGAGCCAUUAUGUACCAUGCCAAUGCCUUACUGGCAAAAGGCGUUGGCACACUAUAGGUUGCAUGCAAGUGUUUACCACAAAAUGGUGCCAAUGCAUGCCAAGCACUAGCACAACAUGGUAUGUACCAUAAAAGCGCUACACCGGUACAAUCCAGCACCCAGUACAUCAAUCCUUUAAGAACAUAGCUAUGCACAUUAGGGAAGAAAACUGCAAGAUAAAAGGAUGUGUUUGAAAGAGAUGACUAAAAAUUAUCAAAUACCUAAACCCACUACUAGUUGAUUAUGUGUUUUUAGAGAAUUUAAUUCUUCAUAUUGUUAAUAAGAAUGGAAAGAGUUUAAAAAAAACAUCAUUUGAUGGCAUCAUUUACUAAAAAUUUGGACUCUAAGUAGCAACAUUGAUGAUUUAUUUCCUAUAUGGAUAGUCCAAGUUCCGAAAAUAUGGCAUUCAAUCAAAGUUAUACAUACAUUGAGCUUUCAGUGCAUGCCAAGAUACACAAAGUAAUAGCCAUGUCGAUCAAAGUGACAAAGAAAUCAAAUUCAAUUUUUUUUAUGUAAGAGAUUGCUUUUUAAACAAUAUAUUUCUAUUUUAUUGAUAACAGAUAUCUUGCAUGGAUGAGUAGAAAAAUCCUGAUUUGUCAAGUACAAUGUCCAACACAUGACAAAAUAUGAUUACCAAAUCCAUGGAUGUGCCUUACUGCCAUUAACAAUUUGAAAACAAACUCAGGCAUAUGUAUAUUGCAAAGGUACAAACAUUUGAAUUCAAAGAGUCAAAGCAAGAAAUCAGGGUUAAGGACUCGGCAUUGUGGAAUAUAUUUUUAUCCAUUAAUACAAGAUAUUUGCUUAAAAAGGUAAAGGUCCAAACACAAAGAGAAGCAACUAGCUUCUGUAGUUAUCUCAUCUAUAUGAAUGAUAUAACAUAUCCUAGCAUCCUUGGAUAACCAAUGAUUUAUAGAUCUUUCGUAUAGCAAAUCUCAUGAAGAAUGUAAUAUGCCAACAAGUUGCAACUUAGGGAAGCGUGUGAAGUACUCUUUUUCUUCUUUUUUCUCCCGAGUAGAUGCAAGAGUAAAAAUAAAAACUAUCUAAAUGAAUUAUUCACAUGUGUAAAAAAAAUCUCAAGAACAAAACCUAAAGAAUUACAGUGAAAUUCCUGAGAAAUCAAAAAAAAAAGCAGGCAGAUUUGGACAUAGAAUUAAAAUUCCAAAACCAUACACCAUCAAAUGACUAGAAGUACCAUGCAAGCUUUUUUUUCUCCCGCAUUCAUACACCUAAAGCACUUACAUUCAGAAAAGGCAUGUAGACUAAUAGUAAAAGAUAUAGUAUGGGAAUCCUAAUAGGUGAGAAUCAAGAAAAAAACCAUAAAAACAGUUUGUACUCUAAGCUCAGCACAGGAAACAAGAAACAAGAAGUAAACAACAGAAUUGCGGAGCAUAUCAGAUGAAUUCAGUAAAAACGGAAAAAUAAAAAGAAUGCCCGGAGGAAAAGCAACGUUAAACGAUCUGGCCUCAAUUCAUAGAAUUUCUUUAUCUUAAGCUACCCAAAAACAAGCAGGAGUAGCAAAUCUCUGACACGGCGGAACGAUUUUUACUGAAAUAUGAAAACCAUAAUGUUCUAUCCCAAUAUCGAAGGGACGCAUUAAUACUAUUUCCGUAAUUUUUUUUUAAAAAAGAAGCCUUCUUGGAACACAUUAAUUACAAAAAAAUCUAACCUAGCAACCAUGAAUCCAGCAUGCCCAUCUAGAUCCGACUUCAAAGGGAAAAGGCCGAGUAAAGAACGGUCAAAGCGACGCUCCAAGAAAGAGCCCUUUUUUUAUCUAAAUUGAUGAAACCCUAGCCCUAUCAACGAACAGAACUGACCAGAUCCUCCCAAUUCCAAAUAGAUCGAAAAAGAAAACAGAACAAAAACAGUAAAUAACCCUAAAUUUCCAAACGCAACUAUAACUAUCUAAAACGACAAAGAGCAAAGAAGAAAAAGAAAACACAAUAAGACCUCCAAAUCCAACAAAAUCGAUCAGAUCCAGAAAUUUCCGGUGAAAGAUAAAACAGCAGCACUGUUUCAUCCGCGUAAAACGAACACAGAAAAAGGAUACAGACAUCUAAAGAUUCAUAAGACGAUCUAUACUGCACCUGCUUGCGAUAUAGAGAAGGCUCCACUGCUGAUGGUGAUUACCGAGGAGAGAGAUAAAUCGAAUCGACAGAGCCGAUCAACUGCCGAACCCGAGAUCGAGCUCGGAUUCAACGGCGGUGGGAGGAGUUGUAAGCGGCCUCGAGAGGGACCUUUUAAAGGUAACCAGAGGUAGACGAGUGCGACGCGGCUAGGGUUUCCCGCUCCGACUCGCUGUGGGAUUGGGCCGGCCCAGUUCUUCGAACUGGAAUCUCUAACGGCCCGGCCUGGUCCGGUUGGACGCCACGUUUUAUUUCUCUCCUUUUUUUUUUCCCUCUACUUUCUGAAAAAGAAAAAUAAUAUGCAUGCACCAUCUGGCCGUACAGGCUACUAAUCACAGCAGCUCAUUUUUUCAGUAGUAAUGCAUCGCGAUGAAUAUAAAAUCUAUAGAAACGAGCAGCUAUAAGUUGGAUGCCCUGUGCUAGAAAAAUUAUACCCUGCACGGCAUGCACCAUGCCAAGCCGCCAACCAUCCGUCUCUUCCUACGGCUCCAUCCAUCGUGUGCUCGUGUUGGUGUACGCGAUGUAGUGUAUAAGUUGCCUUCCUCUCACUAACGGCUCUAUCAUGAUACUAUCACUGCUCAUACCAUGAAGCUGCAUUUGAUUUGAGAAGUGCUGGUAUAACACAAACUUCACAGAAAAUAGUUAUUAGAUCUUUCAAUAGCAAUCAAAAUUUUGAUGGCUGUUUAUCAUGUUCUUGUGACGUUUCUGUGUCAUCAUAGCACUCCUCUAAAUUUCAUAGGACCCACUUUACUCACAUGACAAUGACAAAUCAGCAGCUUUAUUGGUGUAAUGUUGCCAUAUCAGCUGUUAAACUAUUGCCCCUUGAUUAUGUUUUAUAAUCUUCCUCAGGAGAGGAGUAUCAGAGCAGUACAGAGCUGAUGGAAGAGCCAGCCCCCACAGCCAUACGUCGCCUGUUUACCAAUAUCCAUAACACUUUACAUCAAAAAAACACAAUAUCCAUAAUACAAGUAAAUAUAAAUUACCUGCUUAAUCCUUCAUCUCUUGUUUGAAAUAAAAGUAUUUUGGUUAUAAUCUCUGGCUAUACACAAGAUAACACGGGUGCAUUGUACUUUUUUUCUGCUAAAAUGGAUACCAUGCACUUUACCAACGCAUUUACCAGCCAUGCUUUUGUGAGCAAAGAGAAACAAACUCCUUCAGCAGCUCUGCAGCUGCUUACAGCGUCUUCCAAACUUGUCACCACCCGGGAAAAGAACUGGCUCCAAAACACCCAUCGGACAGUUUGAUGGUAACACAGGCGCCAUGGAUCACGCAUCCAUCAAAAUGAGAAAGUGAGGCAAUUGAUGUCAUGCUCAUGUGACCGCAUCAUAAUAUACAAUUUAAAAGAUGCGCCAAAUGAUCUAAUCGGCAUUGGAGCCAGUUCUAACAACAACUCCUCUCAAAAGAUGAACCCACCACACGUGUAUACUCAAAUGCAACAGGACGAGAGAGCAAGCUAGGGAGGGAGAGAGAGCAUCAAAGAAUCUUAAAUAAUUGUGUGCAGCAAAUAAAGAAAUAAUGAAACCAAACUUCAAAAAAAAAAGACGAAAAAUUACAAUCCUCAACUUCAGUGUAACCACGAAAUCGACAACAAAAUCAAACAACUAGAAAAACUUGCAAAGAUGGGUUAAAAAUAAGUUUGCUUCAGAUCACCGUCAGAGCAAAUGGUCCGAACACAUAACCACCGGACAGUAGGAUUAAGUUUGACAAGAAUAGCAUUCGAAAAAGAAAACCCUACAAACAUAAAAUUUAAAUACUAUAUUAACACAAACUCAUCAUAGGAGGUCAGCAACAUUUGAUGGCAGCUCCUCAAUGACAACAUUGUAGAACCUCUGAAUAUCGAACAACAUCCUUUCAUCAUCACGAGUGACAAAGUUGAUCGCAACACCCUUCCUUCCGAAACGUCCGCUUCGUCCAAUUCGGUGAAGAUAGUUCUCUGGUUGGGUUGGCAGAUCGUAAUUUAUGACCAGCGAGACUUGCUGGACAUCAAUACCACGAGCAAGUAGAUCAGUGGUGAUGAGAACACGGGAGGAACCAGAACGGAAUUCACGCAUUAUAAUGUCCCUAGUGUUCUGAUCCAUGUCUCCAUGUGUGGCAGAGACCGUGUGAUCCCUGCUCCUCAUCUUGUCAGCAAGCCAAUCAACCUUGCGCCGGGUGUUCACAAAGAUGACACUCUGAGUGAUGGCCAGAGUCUCAUAAAGAUCACAGAGUGUCUCAAGCUUCCACUCUUCUCUCUCGACAUUGACAUAGAACUGCUUAAUACCCUCAAGGGUGAGCUCAUCUCGCUUCACAAGGAUCCUCACAGGUCUGUUCAUGAACUUGCGGGUUAUCUCAAGGGCUUCAGGAGGCAUUGUGGCAGAGAAGACCCCGACCUGGAUUUUAGAAGGAAGCAGCUGGAAGAUGUC